This 431-nucleotide ribosomal RNA is filed under the name uncultured bacterium. Its description in RNAcentral is "partial 16S ribosomal RNA". It matches the Rfam family "Bacterial small subunit ribosomal RNA", at positions 338 to 795 of the family's 1533-position model. The record is from RNAcentral.
CCUACGGGAGGCUGCAGUGGGGAAUAUUGCACAAUGGGCGCAAGCCUGAUGCAGCCAUGCCGCGUGUGUGAAGAAGGCCUUCGGGUUGUAAAGCACUUUCAGCGGGGAGGCGUUACCCGCAGAAGAAGCACCGGCUAACUCCGUGCCAGCAGCCGCGGUAAUACGGAGGGUGCAAGCGUUAAUCGGAAUUACUGGGCGUAAAGCGCACGCAGGCGGUCUGUCAAGUCGGAUGUGAAAUCCCCGGGCUCAACCUGGGAACUGCAUUCGAAACUGGCAGGCUAGAGUCUUGUAGAGGGGGGUAGAAUUCCAGGUGUAGCGGUGAAAUGCGUAGAGAUCUGGAGGAAUACCGGUGGCGAAGGCGGCCCCCUGGACAAGCUGACGCUCAGGUGCGAAAGCGUGGGGAGCAAACAGGAUUAGAUACCCUAGUAGUC